This 300-nucleotide ribosomal RNA is filed under the name uncultured Paraprevotella sp. RNAcentral's name for it is "partial 16S ribosomal RNA". It matches the Rfam family "Bacterial small subunit ribosomal RNA", at positions 496 to 795 of the family's 1533-position model. The record is from RNAcentral. Lineage: Bacteria; Pseudomonadati; Bacteroidota; Bacteroidia; Bacteroidales; Prevotellaceae.
CGUAAGCACGGGGCAGCGGGCGCGGGUAGCCGGGUGGUGGGAGCGUGGUCCGGAAGCACGGGGCGUAAAGGUGGCGUAGGUGUGGCGACAAGGCAACGGUGCAAGCCCGGGGCUAAACCCCGGGUCGGCCGUCGAUACUGUUGGGCUCGAGCACUGUAGAGGCAGAUGGAAUUCCGGGUGUAGCGGUGGAAUGCGUAGAGAUCCGGAAGAACACCGGUGGCGAAGGCGGUCUGCUGGGCAGUAGCUGACACUGAUGCGCGACAGCGUGGGGAGCAAACAGGAUUAGAUACCCCGGUAGUC